GGGCCCGUAGCUCAGCCAGGUAGAGCGGCGGGCUUUUAACCCGUAGGUCCCGGGUUCAAAUCCCGGCGGGCCCGCCA
RNAcentral lists this transfer RNA (77 nucleotides) under Desulfurococcales archaeon ex4484_217_1. RNAcentral describes it as "tRNA-Lys". It matches the Rfam family "tRNA". From Rfam's summary of the family: Transfer RNA (tRNA) molecules are approximately 80 nucleotides in length. Their secondary structure includes four short double-helical elements and three loops (D, anti-codon, and T loops). Lineage: Archaea; Thermoproteati; Thermoproteota; Thermoprotei; Desulfurococcales. RNAcentral also lists the same sequence under 10 other names. The record is from RNAcentral.